GACGAACGCUGGCGGCGUGCCUAAUACAUGCAAGUUGAGCGCUGAAGGUUGGUACUUGUACCAACUGGAUGAGCAGCGAACGGGUGAGUAACGCGUGGGGAAUCUGCCUUUGAGCGGGGGACAACAUUUGGAAACGAAUGCUAAUACCGCAUAAAAACUUUAAACACAAGUUUUAAGUUUGAAAGAUGCAAUUGCAUCACUCAAAGAUGAUCCCGCGUUGUAUUAGCUAGUUGGUGAGGUAAAGGCUCACCAAGGCGAUGAUACAUAGCCGACCUGAGAGGGUGAUCGGCCACAUUGGGACUGAGACACGGCCCAAACUCCUACGGGAGGCAGCAGUAGGGAAUCUUCGGCAAUGGACGAAAGUCUGACCGAGAAACGCCGCGUGAGUGAAGAAGGUUUUCGGAUCGUAAAACUCUGUUGGUAGAGAAGAACGUUGGUGAGAGUGGAAAGCUCAUCAAGUGACGGUAACUACACAGAAAGGGACGGCUAACUACGUG
RNAcentral lists this ribosomal RNA (497 nucleotides) under uncultured bacterium. Its description in RNAcentral is "partial 16S ribosomal RNA". It matches the Rfam family "Bacterial small subunit ribosomal RNA", at positions 28 to 507 of the family's 1533-position model. The record is from RNAcentral.